GUUCUGUUCCUCAGCACCACAUAUAUAGAAAAAGCCAGAAAUAGAGCUGUGGCUCAAGGGUAGAGUGCUAGCCUUGAGCACAAUAGCACAGGGACAGUGCCCAGGCCUUCAGUACAAGUUCCAAGAUUGGCAA
Long non-coding RNA from Perognathus longimembris pacificus (Pacific pocket mouse), 133 nucleotides. RefSeq lists it as uncharacterized. The record is from RefSeq and is a predicted model, not a curated record. The transcript is spliced from 2 exons. Lineage: Eukaryota; Metazoa; Chordata; Mammalia; Rodentia; Heteromyidae.